AGAGUUUGAUUCUGGCUCAGAUUGAACGCUGGCGGUAUGCUUAACACAUGCAAGUCGAACGGUAACAGAUCUAGCUUGCUAGAUGCUGACGAGUGGCGGACGGGUGAGUAACGCGUGGGAAUCUACCCAGAAGUUCGGGACAACCUGGUGAAAACCAGGCUAAUACCGAAUGUUGUCUACGGGCUAAAGGAGGGGAUCUUCGGACCUUUCGCUUUUGGAUGAGCCCGCGUUAGAUUAGCUAGUUGGUGGGGUAAAGGCCUACCAAGGCGACGAUCUAUAGCUGGUCUGAGAGGACGAUCAGCCACACUGGGACUGAGACACGGCCCAGACUCCUACGGGAGGCAGCAGUGGGGAAUAUUGGACAAUGGGGGCAACCCUGAUCCAGCAAUACCGCGUGUGUGAAGAAGGCCCGAGGGUUGUAAAGCACUUUCAAUUGUGAAGAAAAGUUAUAGUUUAAUACGCUAUGACCUUGACGUUAACUUUAGAAGAAGCACCGGCUAACUCCGUGCCAGCAGCCGCGGUAAUACGGAGGGUGCGAGCGUUAAUCGGAAUUACUGGGCGUAAAGCGUGCGUAGGCGGUUAUUUAAGUCAGAUGUGAAAGCCCAGGGCUCAACCUUGGAACUGCAUUUGAAACUGGAUAACUAGAGUUUGGUAGAGGUGAGUAGAAUUCCUAGUGUAGCGGUGAAAUGCGUAGAUAUUAGGAGGAAUACCAGUGGCGAAGGCGGCUCACUGGACCAAAACUGACGCUGAGGCACGAAAGCGUGGGGAGCGAACGGGAUUAGAUACCCCGGUAGUCCACGCCGUAAACGAUGUCAACUAGUCGUUGGGCCUUUCGGGGCUUAGUGACGCAGCUAACGCGUGAAGUUGACCGCCUGGGGAGUACGGCCGCAAGGCUAAAACUCAAAUGAAUUGACGG
Molecule: ribosomal RNA, 916 nt
Filed under: uncultured bacterium
Lineage: Bacteria
Description: bacterial SSU rRNA
Rfam family: Bacterial small subunit ribosomal RNA
Source: RNAcentral